CCCCUAAGCCCAAACCCCCCUCUACCCCAUGCAGCCGUCGGUGCCGCACCGCUGCGACGCGUUCAUGUUCAUGUCGCCGCAGCUGGUGAGGUAGCAGCGGUUCAUGUAGGAGGUCGGGAAGACCAGCGCUAAGCAGUUGCAGAAGGGCGAGACCAAGGGUGGUUUGUACCACUCUCAAGACGUGUACGACGACAGCGUUCGUUACGAUAAAACAAACUUCCGGACUAUUUUGUAACGAAAAAUAAAGGUCUAGUGCGACUGUCCAAAGUACAAAGACGACUGUAGCCGUAAGGAACCGAAAAACAUAAGUGGAGUAGAACUAUGUCGCGGGGGAUCUACCCAAGUAGAGCGCGUACCUUAGGAAGAGAAGGAAAUGGUCUGAAAACUACGACACCUACCAUUUGUUCGUUCUGCAUGGUUGAGUAGUUCAGGAAAUCCGCUUGAAAAACUAGUGCCUACGCUACGCGAACGUACAUGAAAACUCAGGGACCGAAAACCCUCGUGUCGAUACACACCUUUACGAUGGAAAACCAAAACCCAGUAAAGCCGACAGGGGAAGAUGAAACGUUGGACCCUUGUGAUAAAAUGUUUGUGUGAACAAGAAGGAUAUCAGUUACCUGGUUGACUUCCGGAAUACGACUAAAUACACACGGUAUAGAAGUGGAAAAAGUGUCCUCGACUUACCACCCGCGUCCUAAAGGCCUUUAGUAACGGGGAGGAAUUAACCCACGGAGAACAAGGACUUUAGAGCGAUAUACCGUAGCACGACAAAGAUUACUAACGAAAACGACAUUAGGGUUGCUAACCUAGAUUGUGAGUGUUACAAAUGUUUCAGCAACUUCGUUCUUUUCCUUCGUACCACGACCGUGAUCGUUACGAGAAGGGAAAGCCAAAUGAGUACCGACCUUGAGAGCACACCAGGAUGGAUAGAGGAAGUCUAUAUUACUCUUUAGUUGGUGUAGACGAUUAAUAACCUUGCCCAAAACGCAAACCGAUAGAACACCCUUCUUACUAAGACCGAGUGAAUACACUACUUGGGUUUCCAGACUUCUGUCCUUACACGUACCGGGACCGUAUAAAAGGCAAACGUUAACGUUUACGUGACUGACGGGCUGAACUACUACCUUUGGGGGAAAAACUACUCGUCGAGCAAGAGGACUAUAUGACGAAUAAAUGUCACCGCGACAUGUACGUAAAACGAUGCAGGCAAUAGGUACUUUAGUGGUUGCGUGAACCCUAAGUAACGAAGUCUUAGUGGUCCUUUUUCCGCAUUAGACUGAGUCAACCAUUAGUGUACCACAGAUGGUUUCUUCGUUUGUACGGACGAACAGAAGCAAUGUCCCCACUACAGGCUUAGUAGAAACGUAGACAGUAAUGUCCCUGUGACAGGGGACUUUAAACGUAGUCGUGAUUUUAAACACGACUACUCUUUUGUUACAUACACUUUGUCAACCGUUUUAAAACAACAUAACAGGUAUCUCGUUUACGAGUCGUUUUUGAAAUACCUCCUUUACGACACGACUAACCGUCACCAACGGAAACAUUGAACAGUGUAACAUUGUAGUCGUUUCUACGCCUAUCACAACAAAUACGUAAAAUAAGCACAGAAAAAAAGCUGGGUUACGGAGGUAAGAACAAGACAAAAAGUCUCCGUCUAUGGUAAUCGUCAACCCAAACAAAGAAAAAACAAAACUCUUUUUGUUAGCUACCUCCCUCGUCAAGACUAAACCGACUGUCUAACGUAACACUAACACGAGACAUAUAUAGUGAGACGUAGUUACUUAAGGGUACGACU
This 1795-nucleotide ribosomal RNA is filed under the name Triticum aestivum (bread wheat). RNAcentral describes it as "partial small subunit ribosomal RNA". The record is from RNAcentral. Lineage: Eukaryota; Viridiplantae; Streptophyta; Magnoliopsida; Poales; Poaceae.